UACGUAGGCAGCAAGCGUUGUUCGGAGUUACUGGGCGUAAAGAGUGCGUAGGCGGUGUCGAAAGUUUGGCGUGAAAUCUCCCGGCUUAACUGGGAGGGCGCGCCGAAAACUGCGAUGCUGGAGUGUGGGAAAGGCAAGCGGAAUUCCUGGUGUAGCGGUGAAAUGCGUAGAUAUCAGGAGGAACACCGGCGGUGUAGACGGCUUGCUAGACCAUAACUGACGCUGAGGCACGAAAGCGUGGGUAGCAAACAGG
RNAcentral lists this ribosomal RNA (253 nucleotides) under uncultured bacterium. Its description in RNAcentral is "partial 16S ribosomal RNA". It matches the Rfam family "Bacterial small subunit ribosomal RNA", at positions 524 to 776 of the family's 1533-position model. The record is from RNAcentral.